AUUUUAUAAAAUUAUCUUUUAAAUAUUUUAAUUUUAUAAAUAUAAGAAUACAAAUAUAAGUUUUAAAAAUAUAAAAUAAUAAAAAUAACUAACUAGAGAAAUAAUUAGCCAACAUAUUAUGCCAACCAAACAAAAUUCGUUCAAAGAACGAAAGCAAUCAGAUAUCAGAUCACCACCAACACGAUUGAUUCCAUUAUUUGGCAACUAUGCAACCCUAAUCCCCUCAUCUCUCUUUUCAAAGGCGAGAUUGGUCACGCGAUCAAUCCGAGAACCAAAUCUAUUGGUCAAAACCCUCGUUUUCUGAGGGAAGAUACAAAGGGAUCGACGAGAGAGAGAGAGAGAGAGAGAGAGAGAGAGAGAGAUUAGGGACCUGUAGAAGACAUGCUGCCUUUGGGAGGAGGAGAUGAUGUCGCUGCUGCCGUAGAAGACAUGCGGUUGCGAGGAGGCGGAAGAGACGAUGUUGCCGUUGUCGUCUUGCUUCGUGCUUUGUCGAGAUUUAUGUUGUAAUUU
This 510-nucleotide long non-coding RNA is filed under the name Musa acuminata (dwarf banana). RNAcentral describes it as "long non-coding RNA (MACU_LNC005881)". Lineage: Eukaryota; Viridiplantae; Streptophyta; Magnoliopsida; Zingiberales; Musaceae. The record is from RNAcentral.